Molecule: ribosomal RNA, 2902 nt
Filed under: Klebsiella pneumoniae
Lineage: Bacteria; Pseudomonadati; Pseudomonadota; Gammaproteobacteria; Enterobacterales; Enterobacteriaceae
Description: 23S ribosomal RNA
Rfam family: Bacterial large subunit ribosomal RNA
Source: RNAcentral
GGUUAAGCGACUAAGCGUACACGGUGGAUGCCCUGGCAGUCAGAGGCGAUGAAGGACGUGCUAAUCUGCGAAAAGCGUCGGUAAGGUGAUAUGAACCGUUAUAACCGGCGAUGUCCGAAUGGGGAAACCCAGUGCAAUUCGUUGCACUAUCGUUAACUGAAUACAUAGGUUAACGAGGCGAACCGGGGGAACUGAAACAUCUAAGUACCCCGAGGAAAAGAAAUCAACCGAGAUUCCCCCAGUAGCGGCGAGCGAACGGGGAGCAGCCCAGAGUCUGAAUCAGCUUGUGUGUUAGUGGAACGGUCUGGAAAGUCCGACGGUACAGGGUGAUAGUCCCGUACACCAAAAUGCACAGGUUGUGAACUCGAAGAGUAGGGCGGGACACGUGGUAUCCUGUCUGAAUAUGGGGGGACCAUCCUCCAAGGCUAAAUACUCCUGACUGACCGAUAGUGAACCAGUACCGUGAGGGAAAGGCGAAAAGAACCCCGGCGAGGGGAGUGAAAAAGAACCUGAAACCGUGUACGUACAAGCAGUGGGAGCACCUUCGGGUGUGACUGCGUACCUUUUGUAUAAUGGGUCAGCGACUUAUAUUCUGUAGCAAGGUUAACCGUAUAGGGGAGCCGCAGGGAAACCGAGUCUUAACUGGGCGUUAAGUUGCAGGGUAUAGACCCGAAACCCGGUGAUCUAGCCAUGGGCAGGUUGAAGGUUGGGUAACACUAACUGGAGGACCGAACCGACUAAUGUUGAAAAAUUAGCGGAUGACUUGUGGCUGGGGGUGAAAGGCCAAUCAAACCGGGAGAUAGCUGGUUCUCCCCGAAAGCUAUUUAGGUAGCGCCUCGUGAAUUCAUCUUCGGGGGUAGAGCACUGUUUCGGCUAGGGGGUCAUCCCGACUUACCAACCCGAUGCAAACUACGAAUACCGAAGAAUGUUAUCACGGGAGACACACGGCGGGUGCUAACGUCCGUCGUGAAGAGGGAAACAACCCAGACCGCCAGCUAAGGUCCCAAAGUCAUGGUUAAGUGGGAAACGAUGUGGGAAGGCACAGACAGCCAGGAUGUUGGCUUAGAAGCAGCCAUCAUUUAAAGAAAGCGUAAUAGCUCACUGGUCGAGUCGGCCUGCGCGGAAGAUGUAACGGGGCUAAACCAUGCACCGAAGCUGCGGCAGCGACACUAUGUGUUGUUGGGUAGGGGAGCGUUCUGUAAGCCUGCGAAGGUGACCUGUGAGGGUUGCUGGAGGUAUCAGAAGUGCGAAUGCUGACAUAAGUAACGAUAAAGCGGGUGAAAAGCCCGCUCGCCGGAAGACCAAGGGUUCCUGUCCAACGUUAAUCGGGGCAGGGUGAGUCGACCCCUAAGGCGAGGCCGAAAGGCGUAGUCGAUGGGAAACAGGUUAAUAUUCCUGUACUUGGUGUUACUGCGAAGGGGGGACGGAGAAGGCUAUGUUAGCCGGGCGACGGUUGUCCCGGUUUAAGCAUGUAGGCUGGUUGUCCAGGCAAAUCCGGAUAAUCAAGGCUGAGGUGUGAUGACGAGGCACUACGGUGCUGAAGUAACAAAUGCCCUGCUUCCAGGAAAAGCCUCUAAGCAUCAGGUAACAUUAAAUCGUACCCCAAACCGACACAGGUGGUCAGGUAGAGAAUACCAAGGCGCUUGAGAGAACUCGGGUGAAGGAACUAGGCAAAAUGGUGCCGUAACUUCGGGAGAAGGCACGCUGGUGUGUAGGUGAAGUCCCUGCGGAUGGAGCUGAGACCAGUCGAAGAUACCAGCUGGCUGCAACUGUUUAUUAAAAACACAGCACUGUGCAAACACGAAAGUGGACGUAUACGGUGUGACGCCUGCCCGGUGCCGGAAGGUUAAUUGAUGGGGUUAUCCGUAAGGAGAAGCUCUUGAUCGAAGCCCCGGUAAACGGCGGCCGUAACUAUAACGGUCCUAAGGUAGCGAAAUUCCUUGUCGGGUAAGUUCCGACCUGCACGAAUGGCGUAAUGAUGGCCAGGCUGUCUCCACCCGAGACUCAGUGAAAUUGAACUCGCUGUGAAGAUGCAGUGUACCCGCGGCAAGACGGAAAGACCCCGUGAACCUUUACUAUAGCUUGACACUGAACAUUGAGCCUUGAUGUGUAGGAUAGGUGGGAGGCUUUGAAGCGUGGACGCCAGUCUGCGUGGAGCCAACCUUGAAAUACCACCCUUUAAUGUUUGAUGUUCUAACGUUGGCCCCUUAUCGGGGUUGCGGACAGUGUCUGGUGGGUAGUUUGACUGGGGCGGUCUCCUCCCAAAGCGUAACGGAGGAGCACGAAGGUUAGCUAAUCCUGGUCGGACAUCAGGAGGUUAGUGCAAUGGCAUAAGCUAGCUUGACUGCGAGCGUGACGGCGCGAGCAGGUGCGAAAGCAGGUCAUAGUGAUCCGGUGGUUCUGAAUGGAAGGGCCAUCGCUCAACGGAUAAAAGGUACUCCGGGGAUAACAGGCUGAUACCGCCCAAGAGUUCAUAUCGACGGCGGUGUUUGGCACCUCGAUGUCGGCUCAUCACAUCCUGGGGCUGAAGUAGGUCCCAAGGGUAUGGCUGUUCGCCAUUUAAAGUGGUACGCGAGCUGGGUUUAGAACGUCGUGAGACAGUUCGGUCCCUAUCUGCCGUGGGCGCUGGAGAAUUGAGGGGGGCUGCUCCUAGUACGAGAGGACCGGAGUGGACGCAUCACUGGUGUUCGGGUUGUCAUGCCAAUGGCACUGCCCGGUAGCUAAAUGCGGAAGAGAUAAGUGCUGAAAGCAUCUAAGCACGAAACUUGCCCCGAGAUGAGUUCUCCCUGAGACUUUAAGUCUCCUGAAGGAACGUUAAAGACGAUGACGUUGAUAGGCCGGGUGUGUAAGCGCAGCGAUGCGUUGAGCUAACCGGUACUAAUGAACCGUGAGGCUUAACCUU